GCUUACGGCCAUAUCAGCCUGGGUACGCCCGAUCUCGUCUGAUCUCAGAAGCUAAGCAGGGUCGGGCCUGGUUAGUACUUGUAUGGGAGACCGCCUGGGUAUACCAGGUGCUGUAAGCA
Molecule: ribosomal RNA, 119 nt
Filed under: Salmo salar (Atlantic salmon)
Lineage: Eukaryota; Metazoa; Chordata; Actinopteri; Salmoniformes; Salmonidae
Source: RNAcentral